GCUGGCGAAAUGGCUUGAAUCGUUUUGCCAAGGUUGGGGUCGAGGGUUCGAAUCCCUUCGCCCGCUCCA
Molecule: transfer RNA, 69 nt
Filed under: Sphingobium fontiphilum
Lineage: Bacteria; Pseudomonadati; Pseudomonadota; Alphaproteobacteria; Sphingomonadales; Sphingobiaceae
Description: tRNA-Ser
Source: RNAcentral